AUAGAAUCCAACAGCUAUCAAAAAUCACGGCCAGCUGAGCUGAGUUCAUGCCUGUGCAGGAAUGGAUUGGCUGCAGCCAGCCAAUGUGCCCAGGCAGUGCUCUGGUCAUGAAAAGAGCUGAUAAUUCAUCAAAUCUAUGUCUGCCGUGAUGCCCAGGACUGGACUUCUGCCUUGCAUCCAGCUCAGAUCCUCUAACUCUGCAAAUGUUCCCAGGCUUUGGAAGAAUGACUGCUGGAGUGAGUUACAGCCCAUCUCCUGUCCCAGGCUACAUGUGCCCAGAGGGCAUAAAGCAGCACCACCCGAGCUGCCAGAGCAGAGAAGGAGGAGACACAGACCUCAUGGAAAUCUGGAAGUGGACUGGUUCCCAGCCUCACACCCCAGGCAAAUAUCUUCUUACAGAGGAGGCACAGACGUGGCACAGGAGGCCUCCGCUUCCUGCCACUAAGGCUGCUGAGCAAGCAUCCUGUUGCAUUCUCUACUAACUUUAAUUUGCAAAUAGCCUUAAAGCAUUGCAGAAAACAGCAUGGGAAUUUCUUUUUAAAGGUGGUAACAAAGGUUGGGCUGUCUGUGUAAAGCCUGCAAUGUAAUCACAAACAACAAAAGAGUACACAAGAUGUCAUGUAGGAGCAAAGAGGUCACCCUGAGCAGCGGAGGGAAUAAAAGCAGAGAAAAGGAUUCA
Molecule: long non-coding RNA, 679 nt
Filed under: Chloebia gouldiae (Gouldian finch)
Lineage: Eukaryota; Metazoa; Chordata; Aves; Passeriformes; Passeridae
Description: Erythrura gouldiae (Gouldian finch) lncRNA (ENSEGOG00005002999.1)
Source: RNAcentral